UACGGAGGGUGCAAGCGUUGUUCGGAAUCAUUGGGCGUAAAGGGCGCGUAGGCUGUUCAGUAAGUCGGAUGUGAAAGCCCCGGGCUCAACCCGGGAAGUGCAUCCGAAACUGCUGGACUUGAGUACGGGAGAGGGAAGUGGAAUUCCUGGUGUAGGGGUGAAAUCCGUAGAUAUCAGGAGGAACACCGGUGGCGAAGGCGACUUCCUGGACCGAUACUGACGCUGAGGCGCGAAAGCGUGGGGAGCAAACAGG
This 253-nucleotide ribosomal RNA is filed under the name uncultured bacterium. RNAcentral's name for it is "partial 16S ribosomal RNA". It matches the Rfam family "Bacterial small subunit ribosomal RNA", at positions 524 to 776 of the family's 1533-position model. The record is from RNAcentral.